RNAcentral lists this transfer RNA (80 nucleotides) under Emericellopsis atlantica. It matches the Rfam family "tRNA". Rfam says of the family: Transfer RNA (tRNA) molecules are approximately 80 nucleotides in length. Their secondary structure includes four short double-helical elements and three loops (D, anti-codon, and T loops). Further hydrogen bonds mediate the characteristic L-shaped molecular structure. tRNAs have two regions of fundamental functional importance: the anti-codon, which is responsible for specific mRNA codon recognition, and the 3' end, to which the tRNAs corresponding amino acid is attached (by aminoacyl-tRNA synthetases). tRNAs cope with the degeneracy of the genetic code in two manners: having more than one tRNA (with a specific anti-codon) for a particular amino acid; and 'wobble' base-pairing, i.e. permitting non-standard base-pairing at the 3rd anti-codon position. Lineage: Eukaryota; Fungi; Ascomycota; Sordariomycetes; Hypocreales; Bionectriaceae. RNAcentral also lists the same sequence under 1 other name. The record is from Rfam by way of RNAcentral.
GGUCGCGUGGCCCAAUGGCAAGGCGUUUGACUACGAUUCGAUAUAUCAAAAGAUUGUGGGUUCGAUCCCCACCGUGACCU